RNAcentral lists this ribosomal RNA (488 nucleotides) under uncultured bacterium. RNAcentral's name for it is "SSU rRNA". It matches the Rfam family "Bacterial small subunit ribosomal RNA", at positions 26 to 525 of the family's 1533-position model. The record is from RNAcentral.
AGGACGAACGCUGGCGGCGUGCCUAACACAUGCAAGUCGAACGAGGUCCAACCGGUGGCAACACUGGUGAAGACCAAGUGGCGAACGGGUGAGUAGCACGUGAGCAACCUGCCCCGAAGACCGGGACAACACCGGGAAACCGGUGCUAAUACCGGAUAUCCCCAUCGAGUCGCAUGGCUUGAUGAGGAAAUGGAUUCCGCUUCGGGAGGGGCUCGCGGCCUAUCAGCUUGUUGGUGAGGUAACGGCUCACCAAGGCUUCGACGGGUAGCUGGUCUGAGAGGACGAUCAGCCACACUGGGACUGAGACACGGCCCAGACUCCUACGGGAGGCAGCAGUGGGGAAUCUUGCACAAUGGGCGAAAGCCUGAUGCAGCAACGCCGCGUGAGGGACGAAGGCUUUCUGAGUUGUAAACCUCUUUCAGCAGGGACGAUUGUGACGGUACCUGCAGAAGAAGCCCGGCAACUACGUGCCAGCAGCCGCGGUAAUC